UACGUAGGGUGCGAGCGUUGUCCGGAAUUACUGGGCGUAAAGAGCUCGUAGGUGGUUUGUCGCGUUGUUCGUGAAAUCUCACGGCUUAACUGUGAGCGUGCGGGCGAUACGGGCAGACUAGAGUACUGCAGGGGAGACUGGAAUUCCUGGUGUAGCGGUGGAAUGCGCAGAUAUCAGGAGGAACACCGGUGGCGAAGGCGGGUCUCUGGGCAGUAACUGACGCUGAGGCACGAAAGCGUGGGGAGCAAACAGG
Molecule: ribosomal RNA, 253 nt
Filed under: uncultured bacterium
Lineage: Bacteria
Description: partial 16S ribosomal RNA
Rfam family: Bacterial small subunit ribosomal RNA
Source: RNAcentral